CACGUAGGCUGUAUAUCAAGUCAAGGGUGAAAUCCCCGGGCUCAACCUGGGAACUGCCUUUGAAACUGGUAAACUGGAGUAUGUGAGAGGGUGGCGGAAUUCCUGGUGUAGGAGUGAAAUCCGUAGAUAUCAGGAGGAACAUCAGUGGCGAAGGCGGCCACCUGGCACAAAACUGACGCUGAGGUGCGAAAGCGUGGGUAGCAAACA
Molecule: ribosomal RNA, 207 nt
Filed under: uncultured bacterium
Lineage: Bacteria
Description: partial 16S ribosomal RNA
Rfam family: Bacterial small subunit ribosomal RNA
Source: RNAcentral